Molecule: RNA transcript, 1974 nt
Organism: Olea europaea var. sylvestris
Lineage: Eukaryota; Viridiplantae; Streptophyta; Magnoliopsida; Lamiales; Oleaceae
Gene name: floral homeotic protein APETALA 2-like
Exons: 11
Source: RefSeq, a predicted model, not a curated record
UACCCUACCCUACCCUACCCUACCCCCAGAGAGGACUUGAAAAACUGGCCUCGUCUAUGCUGUAUUGGGCAGAUAGGGAGGAUCCACGAGAUCUAGUUGAAUAGUUGAAAUUUGGGAACAGUUUUUCUCCUUUUUUUUGUUACAGAAUCUAUAGUUAUAUAGUUCUUUUCUUUCCUUUGAAGAGCGAACAUAUACUUCUUCUAUUCUAUACAAGCAUUAUUACAAGAGUUAUGCUACUGAUGGGACAGUGCUGAUUAGAAUUUACGUUCUCACUCUCCUUUUUCUCUCUCUAAAUUGAAGACUUUCUUACAGUAUCAGAACUAUUCAAAUUUCAUUGAACGGAAAUGUGGAAUCUGAACUAUUCACCGGAUCAAAGGAUGGAUGAAGGUGGAAAGGGUGAACGGGUCGGAUCUGAAUGGAACUCGAUGGAGGAUGGUUUUUCUGAGGAAGAAGAUGCGGAGAGAAGUGGGGGUGAUGGGAACAAGAAAAAAAGCAGUAAAAUCUUUGGUUUUUCUGUUUCACGUGACUGUGAUGAUGACGAUAUAGGACCAUGUUCGUUGGGGAGUGAGCCGCCGGUGACAAGGCAGUUCUUUCCUGUGGAUGAGUCGGAAACCACCGUUACAUCCGGCGGAGGGGUAGCACCCAAUUUUCCGAGGUCUCACUGGAUGGGAGUGAAAUUCUGCCUGUCCGACGCCACCACCGUCGGCGUCUUAGGGAAAUCUGCCGCGGAAGUUUCGCAGCCACUCAAGAAGAGCCGCCGUGGGCCAAGGUCCCGGAGCUCUCAGUACCGCGGCGUCACCUUUUACCGGCGAACCGGCCGGUGGGAAUCGCACAUAUGGGAUUGUGGAAAACAAGUUUAUUUAGGUGGAUUUGAUACAGCACAUGCCGCAGCACGUGCAUACGAUAGGGCAGCGAUCAAGUUUCGGGGAGUGGAAGCAGACAUAAACUUUAGUUUGGAUGAUUACGAAGAGGACUUUAAACAGACGAGCAAUCUAACUAAGGAAGAAUUUGUACAUGUACUUCGUCGGCGAAGUACCGGAUUUCCGAGAGGAAGUUCCAAGUAUAGAGGUGUUACUCUGCACAGAUGUGGUAGAUGGGAAGCCAGACUGGGGCAGCUCUUAGGCAAAAAGUAUGUUUAUUUGGGUCUCUUUGAUACUGAAGUUGAAGCUGCCAGGGCUUAUGAUAAAGCUGCCAUCAAGUGCAAUGGAAAGGAAGCUGUUACCAAUUUUGAUCCCAGCAUUUAUGAAGAACUUGGAGAUGCAGGACAGAUUCUUCUAGUAAUGCAUUUGACCACAAUCUCGACUUGAGUUUGGGAAAUUCAGCCUCAAAGUCAAUCGGUCGAGAAUUUGGGGAUGACAUCCAUCAUACUAGAGACCAACAUUCUUCAUCAAUGCAAUUUGAAGCUGAAUGGCGAUGUCAAGGAUUGAUACCGGAGCACCAAACGCAGCUAUGUUCCACGGGCUCAGUGAAGUUUACUGAAAUGCAUAGAUAUGGGCCGUUUGUGAAAGCUAAAGAACCUCGUAUGCUUCCGAUGUUUUUACCGGCGUUCAGCUCACAAAACUAUCAAUUUCCGAGCAGCAGCGACGGUGGCAGGAUUUGAAGCUGAUGAAGGUGAGCUCCCUCUUUCGACGAAAGAUCAUCAAUCGCAGACAAAUUGCCCUCGAUUCUUAGCAGCAUCAUCAGGAUUCCAGCAGCUGAGAAUCAGCUGCAGAAAUUGAACUGGCUUUCUUCUUUCUGCCACACCAUUUUCGAAUAUCUCCAUUUUCGGCAAGUCUAUAAAGUUCUAUCCUUUGAGCAUUUUUAUUUUUUUUUGGGCUCUGUGUACCUUCCAGAGACCAUUAGUACGUAUCCAUGCAGGGUUCUCAAUUAGAUUGAGCAUUGAGCAAAAGAAUGGAGAAAUUGAUAUUCUAUGUUUCAUGGUUCCUCAUUGUUUUGUUAAAACUAUUUACAUAAUGUCUAAGGAUCCGUUUGGUA